This 202-nucleotide ribosomal RNA is filed under the name uncultured Leptotrichia sp. Its description in RNAcentral is "partial 16S ribosomal RNA". It matches the Rfam family "Bacterial small subunit ribosomal RNA", at positions 156 to 354 of the family's 1533-position model. Lineage: Bacteria; Fusobacteriati; Fusobacteriota; Fusobacteriia; Fusobacteriales; Leptotrichiaceae. The record is from RNAcentral.
GUUACUGAUAAUAACUGGAUAAGUUAGUAUAUCGCAUGAUAUGCAAAAUGAAAGACUACGGCACUAAAGGAGAGCUUUGCGUCCUAUUAGCUAGUUGGUAAGGUAAGAGCUUACCAAGGCGAUGAUAGGUAGCCGGCCUGAGAGGGUGGACGGCCACAAGGGGACUGAGAUACGGCCCUUACUCCUACGGGAGGCAGCAGGC